GGGACAUCUGUGAGGGCAGUCUGGUUGAGACAUCUGUCACCCCACUAGUGCUAGAGCUGAUUCAGCUGAUCAGACUGGAGAGGCAGGUGUCCCCUUCUCCUCCUCACAGUCCCACGCACAUGUUUCCCAAAGCUGCAUGCUACAUCACUAAGUCGGAAAGGACAACCUUUCCUGAGUAGAGUAGCUGGGUUUUUGGUUAAGGGUAUAUGACGAGUGGCUGCACUCCUCCACACAAGCUAACAAGUUCCCAGGCUACACAGCUAGGUGUGAGAGGACCAGACACUGAGUCAGGCUGUCCCGAAGGUUCACCUGUCUACAGGACUACCGUUC
This 330-nucleotide small nuclear RNA is filed under the name Mus pahari (shrew mouse). RNAcentral describes it as "sRNA (MGP_PahariEiJ_G0008122.1)". The stretch from base 1 to 288 matches the Rfam family "7SK RNA". Rfam says of the family: 7SK was discovered as an abundant small nuclear RNA in the mid-70s but a possible function has only recently been suggested. Two independent studies have found that 7SK RNA binds the CDK9/cyclin T complex (known as elongation factor P-TEFb). Lineage: Eukaryota; Metazoa; Chordata; Mammalia; Rodentia; Muridae. The record is from RNAcentral.